GACAUCGUGGCUGAGCGGUUUAAGGCACUGGUUUGCUAAACCAGCGACCCGGCAACGGGUCCACAGGUUCGAAUCCUGUCGAUGUCGC
This 88-nucleotide transfer RNA is filed under the name Tupanvirus deep ocean. RNAcentral describes it as "tRNA-Ser". It matches the Rfam family "tRNA". From Rfam's summary of the family: Transfer RNA (tRNA) molecules are approximately 80 nucleotides in length. Their secondary structure includes four short double-helical elements and three loops (D, anti-codon, and T loops). RNAcentral also lists the same sequence under 1 other name. Lineage: Varidnaviria; Bamfordvirae; Nucleocytoviricota; Megaviricetes; Imitervirales; Mimiviridae. The record is from RNAcentral.